AACUUUUUUUUUAAUAACUAACAGCAAGAUUAUUAGUGUUCCUUUUCAAUUACGUAUUCAAGCUUAUGUAUACAAAGUAUGUUGAUUCUUUAGGCCCCCAAUGAGGCUGAAUCUAGAUCCAUAAUGAACAUGAUUAUUCUAAUGGGGAAUUAGAUUAGCAUCAUAAUCUCUCAGCACUGGACGUGGACAUUUUUGUCUUGUUUUCCUUUCCUUCUCUUUUUCUUAUGCUGGCAAAAAAAAAAA
This 243-nucleotide unclassified non-coding RNA is filed under the name Hevea brasiliensis (rubber tree). Lineage: Eukaryota; Viridiplantae; Streptophyta; Magnoliopsida; Malpighiales; Euphorbiaceae. The record is from RNAcentral.